GUUAUAAAUAUCGUUGGCCAGACUGUAGCCGCCAAAUUAUACGAAAUACCUGAAAAGGGACUUCUUGAAAGAACAGCCUCAAUUCUUCCAUGCAUGGACUCUACAAGGUGUUGAAAGCGUUCCAAAGGGAUGCUGGCCUAGGUUGACUCCAAUGCUUCCCACGGUUGUGUCAAGUUAGCUGGAUGUCCUUUGGGUGGUGGACCAUUCUUGAUACACAUGGGAAACUGGUGUGAGUGUGAUACACUUUUACACGGAGAGUGCAUGGAACCAGGAAGCACUAUUCGACAUGUUCCUGCACGGUGUCUCUGAGGAGGUUAAGGACGAGCUUGCUGCUCGGAAAAUACCCACGGAUCUUGACUCCCUCCUCGCCUUGACCAUCUGCAUCAAUGGCCGAUUGCGGAAACGACGGAUGGAGAGGAAAUUCGAUUUCGCUCACACGUCCAGGGAUUCAACCACACCUCCGGGGGUCCCCAACAGUCCUGUUGCCGAGAGCACCCGACACUUCCCGACCUUCCGCGAGAGACACCAAAGACGGCCGAGGCACUGUUUCCCGAGCCCAUGCAACUAGGCAGAGCUGGGCUGACGCCAGCAGAACGGCAACACAGGAUCAAGACAAGGAGCUGUCCUGUAUUGCAGGACUUUUGGUGAUUUUGUGUCCUCUUGCCCGGUAAAAGACCAGGCUCACCGGUAGGAGCAAGUACUCUGGUGGGCCAUAUGGAGAACGUUUCUGCUUCCCUUACUCACACCCCUUUUUUUGUCAUUCUGCUGUGGGGAAACCAGUCCAAAUGUCUCUGGGUCCUCAUUGACUCUGGGUCCGAUGAGUGCUUUUUGGACGCCACACAAGCUUCCGAGCUGAACAUCCCCAUUCAGCCCCUCUCCAUUCCCAUAGAUGUUAGAGCACUGGACGGGUGCUCUAUAGGUCGGGUCACCCAUAACAUCCCACCACCCAUCAACCUACGUACAGUAUGUCAGGGAAUCAAAGCGAGACCAUUCAAUUCCUGCUCAUCAAGUCCCCCCAGACUCCCAUGGUUUUGGGAUUCUCCUGGCUCCAGCGACACAAUCCCCUCAUCAACUAGUCUAUCAUGGGCUGGAGUCCAUUUUGACACGGCCAUUGUCUGAAGUCGGUGCAACCUGCCCCGGGACAUCUUCCUGGGGGGCUCGGAAGUUGCUCCGGACCUCUCCGCCAUUCCCGCGGAGUACCAGGACCCUCUAGGAGGUGUUCAGCAAGUCCCGGGCCACUUACCUUCUGCCCCACCGCCCGAUUGCGGAAGCGACGGGAUAUGACUGCGGGAUUGACCUUUUCCCUAGCAUCUGUACUCUCUGUCGGAACCAGAGACCAAGGUUAUGGAGACCUACAUUGGGGACUCCCUAGCUACAGGGUUUAUCUGUCUCUCUUCCUCUCCCGCUGGCGCAGGUUUCUUCCUUGUGGAGAAAAAGGACAGGACCCUGCGCCUGUGCAUUGACUACUGGGGACUCAAUGACAUUACUGUUACCGUUAUCCGCUACCAGUCAUUUCCUCUGCCUUCGAGCCGCUCCAGGGGGCCACUGUUUUCUCCAAGCUGGAUCUACGAAACGCCUACCACCUGGUGUGGAUACGAGAGGGGGACGAGUGGAAGACCGCCUUCAACAUGGCCAGUGGCCACUACGAAUAUCUGGUCAUGCCCUUUGGCCUAACCAACACCCCAGCCAUUUUCCAGGCUCUGGUGAAUGAUGCUCUCCGUGUGAUGCUUAACCGGUUCGUCUUCGUCUACAUUGAUGACAUCCUUGUCUUCUUCCGCUCCUCCCAAGAACACGUGCUCCAUGUCCGACAGGUUCUCCAGCGCCUUCUGGAGAACCAGUUGUUUGUUAAAGUGGAAAAGUGUGAGUUCCAUCGCUCCACCAUUCGCUUUCAGGCUACACCUUCUCUGCUAGGAGUGUCCAGAUGGAUCCCGAGAAGGUGAGAGCAGUGGAAGAUUGGCCUCAGCCUACGUCCAGGGUGCAGCUGCAAUGCUUCCUGGGGUUCGCCAACUUUUAUUGCCGCAAUAUCUGGGGUUACACCACCCUGGCCUCCCCCCUGUCUGCAAUUACCUCUACCAAGGUUCCGUUCACGUGGUCCUCUGCUGCUGACCGGGCGUUCUGGGACCUUAAACACCACUUCCCCACUGCUCCUAUCCUGGUUCACCCGGAUCCUUCCCGUCAGUUCGUGGUGGA
Long non-coding RNA from Oncorhynchus tshawytscha (Chinook salmon), 2190 nucleotides. The record is from Ensembl. Lineage: Eukaryota; Metazoa; Chordata; Actinopteri; Salmoniformes; Salmonidae.